GGGAGGUGUGAUCCCAUGCUCCCUGGGAGGUGUGAUCCCGUGCUCCCUGGGAGGUGUGAUCCCGUGCUCCCU
RNAcentral lists this microRNA precursor (72 nucleotides) under Pongo abelii (Sumatran orangutan). RNAcentral describes it as "mir-3689 microRNA precursor family". It matches the Rfam family "mir-3689 microRNA precursor family". The record is from Rfam by way of RNAcentral. Lineage: Eukaryota; Metazoa; Chordata; Mammalia; Primates; Hominidae.